This 34-nucleotide ribosomal RNA is filed under the name Corbicula sp. form B rr3. Its description in RNAcentral is "partial 5.8S ribosomal RNA". Lineage: Eukaryota; Metazoa; Mollusca; Bivalvia; Venerida; Cyrenidae. The record is from RNAcentral.
CAACUCUAUGCGGUGGAUCACUCGGCUCGUGCGU